GUGCCAGCCGCCGCGGUAAUACGUAGGUGGCAAGCGUUAUCCGGAAUUAUUGGGCGUAAAGCGCGCGUAGGCGGUUUUUUAAGUCUGGUGUGAAAGCCCACGGCUCAACCGUGGAGGGUCAUUGGAGACUGGAAAACUUGAGUGCAGAAGAGGAAAGUGGAAUUCCAUGUGUAGCGGUGAAAUGCGCAGAGAUAUGGAGGAACACCAGUGGCGAAGGCGACUUUCUGGUCUGUAACUGACGCUGAUGUGCGAAAGCGUGGGGAUCAAACAGGAUUAGAUAC
Molecule: ribosomal RNA, 281 nt
Filed under: uncultured Staphylococcus sp.
Lineage: Bacteria; Bacillati; Bacillota; Bacilli; Caryophanales; Staphylococcaceae
Description: partial 16S ribosomal RNA
Rfam family: Bacterial small subunit ribosomal RNA
Source: RNAcentral